UUUGGUCACGUGAAAUUUAACAUCUCUUGAGAAAUAGAAAUCGAAAUAAGAGAUGGAUUAGAUGAGGAAGUAGAAGAAGAAGAAGUUUGUGAAGGUGAAUGAGGAGAAAGAAGUGAAACAAGAGAAGGAGGAGAGAGUGAAGAUUUAAGUGAACUAUUUAGAAUUGAAGGAGCAGUAUAACGAUGAGCUGUAGGAGGAGAGGAGGAAUCACUCAAGGUGAGUAAUUGUUGGAGUAGAAGAAGUGAUUUUUAAAGGAGAUGAAGUGGUGAAAGAAAGAUAUUUGGACGAAUAAAAUUUAACAUCUCUAGACAAUUAGAAUGUGGAAUAAUUGAUGGUGAAUGUGCAUGGGCAGAAAGAACAGAAACAUGGGAAGUAGGAGUAGAGAGUGAAGAUUCCAGUGAACCAUUAAGAAUUGAAUGAGCUGUAUAAGGAUGAGCUGUAGGAGGGGAGGAAAGGAAUCACUCUCAGGAGAUUAUAAACUGGCGGAGAAGAGGGAUUUUUUAUUGAGGUGAAGUGAUGAAUGAAAGAAAUUCAGACUCAUGAAAUUUAACAUCUCUACAGAAUUAGAAACAGAAAUAGGAGAUGGAUUAAAUGAGGGGGAUGAAGAAGAAGGAGAAUUUGGUGAAGAUGAAUGAGGGGAAGAGUGUGAAAAAUUGGAAGGAGUAGAGAGGGUUACUGUUCAUGUGAACCAUUAAGCGUUUAAGGAACAAUGUAAGUAUGUGCAGUAGGAGGAGAGGUGGAAUCACGCUAAGGUUAGUAAUAGUUGGAGAAGAAGAACUGAUUUUUGAAGGAGUUCAAGUGGUGAAAGAAUGAUUGGGCUCAUGAAAUUUAACUUAUCUAGAAAGUGGAAUAGAAGAUGGAUUAGAUUAGAUGAGGGAGAAAGAAGAAGAAUGAGAAGUUUGUUAAGGUGAAUGUGGAGAAGGAAGUGACACAUGGGAAUGAGGAUGAGAGGGUGAAGAUUAAAGUGAACCAUUAAAAAUUUAAGGAGCAGUAUAAGGAUGAGCAGUAGGGUGAGAAGGUAUCACUCCAAGCCAAGUACUAUUUGGAGAAGUGUUAUAUGAAGGAGCUUAAUUGGUGAAAAAGGAAAAUUUGGACUCUUAAUAUUUAUGAAUAUAAGGAUGAGCAGUUGUAGCAAAAGAGGAAUCACUACAAGCUGAGUUUUGGUUGGAGAAGAACUGAUUUUUGAAGAAGGUGAAGUGGUAAAAGAAAGAUCUUAGAGACAAGUGGGAUAGGAGAUGGAUAAGAUUAAAUGGGGAGGAAGAAAAAGAAGGAGAAGUUGGUGAACAUGAAUGAGUAGAAAAGCAACAAAGGAAGGAGGAGGAGAAGAGGGUACAGAAUCAAGUGAGAAAUAUUUGGAGAAGACUAAGUGAUUUUCGAAAGAGGUAAAGUGGUGACAGGAGGAAAUUGGACCCAUGAAAUUUAACAUCUAUAGUGUAGAGAAUUAGAAAGUGGAAUAGGAGAAAAAUUAGAUGGGAGGAAGAAGAAGAAGUUGGGGAAGGUUUAUGAGAAGGAACAGUUGGAGAAGUAGUAGUAGGAGAGGAGGAAUAGCUCAAGGUUAGUAACAGUUGGAGAAGUAGUGAUUUUUGAAGGAGGUGAAGUGGUGAAAGAAUGAAAUUGGACCCAUGAAAUUUAACAUCUCUAGAGAAUUGGAAAGUGGAAUAGGAGAUGAAUUAGAUGGAAGGAAGAAGAAGUUGCUGAACGUGUAUGCGAAGAUGUGAAACAUGGGAAGGAGGGGGACAAGGUGAGGAAUCAGGUGGAUCUAAUUUAUUAGUUUAAUAGCUGUAUACAAUAUAUACCUUUUAGUUUUAUAUGAAAAGUACUCAAAUAGUGCCUUGCUUAUCUUUUGCUUUUCAACUACCUAUAUGAUUAUAUUAGAUUCCAAUAACGCCCUGGAUUUUGAAAGAAGUACUUGAGUCAUUGAAGAAAGAUUAGAAUGUUUGCAUCCUCAAGUUGCCAGUGGUAGAAGUAAUGCUGUGAAAAAUGCCAGAAGAGAAGACACCUUCAAGUUGAAGGAGAAGGAUUUUGGUUUUGGAGAAGAUAGAAAAUUGUUGAAUGAUCUGAAGGUUUCGAAGGUGAUGGAUAAGUACCCAGGUAGAGCUUUCACUAAAUUUGUCUAUCUGAUUAUGAUGUUUAAUAUUUUCUUUUUAUUCUUUCCCCUUUUUUUCUUGAAAAAGAUAAUCACAACUGAUACUCUUUCUUAUUUUCCAAAAAAUAGUCUUCUCUUAUUUCCAAUUAUGUUGAAUGAACAAAAGUUAUAACAAAGAAAAGUUUUUGUAUUUCUUGCAUUUUGCAGUGCCCUGAUUUAUUGUUGUACUAGGUCUCUCACACCCCAGCAGAUGGUAGAUACACAAUUGAGAUGGCAGUGAUCAAUGUAUGUUGGAGCAUGAGAAACUUCCAUGCUUUUAAGAUAAUUACUAAUUAAUUUUUUUGAUGAUACUUAUAUUCUCAAUUUGUAUGCAUUCUCUUUUCUAAUGAAAAGCUAUUUCAUUCUGGUGAGCAGGUCAUUUUCGAAUUCUGUUUCUUGGCACUCCUUGCUGUUUGAGGCUCCUUGGCUGGGUCACUCCUGUGCUUUUUAAAUGUAUUCUAUCUCAGCACCUUAAAGUAGUUACUUUUUGAAAAAGAGCUACAAAGUGUUCUCAUAACCCCACUAUCCAUAUUAUACUAUCUCCGCACCUUAUUGAACUUUUUAUUUCCCAGUCCCAUGAAAAAUUAUUGUUGUAUUGAAUGUAACUGGUAUACGUAUAUGUCUUUCAGAUUGUGUGGAUCUGUACUUCAAUUCUAGAGAAGCCCAUCCGAAAAUGAUGAGAAGUCUCACAAAAAAAUGCUAGGCUACAAGUGUGUGCUGCAUUGCGAAGAUACAGAAGAAUCUCUAAGGUGUACAGAAAUUGCCUUUGACUUUUUCGAAUUCUCUUUCUCUUUGGUUGAAAUGAGCUUCUAAUUUUAAAAUUUUUUUUUUGUAGUGCUUUUUUUUUCUUCGAGGCUGAAUAACAUAAAAUGACUUCCACUCUUUGAAUGCUGGCGUCAAAUAAGGUGCUUCAGUUGAGCUGGUCUGCUUCAAAUUUUUAUUUUGGGGUCAGGUGUCAAAUCUUCAGGUAUUCAUCUUGUAACCUGUUCAAGUGUGGUAGCUAUUUAUAUUAAACAAGUAAGUUUUCAUCUAUUAAACAAAAUAGUGCUUGAAUCUGAACCUGCUUGCCAUAAAUUUACGAUGCAUGAUUUUGCAAGGUCAGGAUCCCUGCUUACUAGCAGGAAAUCAUAUAUGUAAACCUGUGCAACUGUGGCAGGUUUUAGAUUAAAUUACUAGGUUGUCAUUAUUAUACUAUUUAAUUUAAAGUUUGAGUAAUUAAACGAAGACAAUUAAUAAGCUUUAUCCCUAAAACUUUAAGAUAUCUACUGAGUUUGUAGGAGAUGAGAUAGCAAACCUUGAUGCUUAUCCAAUAACUCAUAAAAUCCAACAAGUAGCUUUGGAGAAUUAUUUGUAGCUAGUCAGACGUAUUUUAGUUUGUAAAGUAAGUAGGAUCACAAUCCAGAGAAGUAAAUUAUUUUUGUAUUUACCUAAUGUUUAGAUUAUGUUAAGGGUUGGGCUCUUUUAAGUUCUAAACAGUGUUGUUAAUUGCGGAAAAUAGCAGAAAGCUAAAAGUCUGCCAUUUCAAGCUGUGAAAGCAGCAAAGACGGGGAAAUAACAGAGUAGCGGUGAGCCCUAAGAGCGCUACACUAUAGCGCUGGUGAGCCCUUUGAGCGCUUUGCUAUAGUGCGUGCUUUAGUGCCUCUAUAACCGCUAUUUAACAACAGUGGUUUAAACUACUCUGAAUGUCCUAUAUUAUUUCUAAAUACUAAUAUAGGUGAAUAGUUCCUAGGUGUAAUGGGUUAGGUGCUUUUUGCUCAUGAAGCAGUUUCUGGCGGCUAGCGACAUUUAUGUUUACAAUUUCAAUCAAAUUGCGGGAGUUCGGACACCCAUUGGGAGGGUUCAAACCCCCCACAAAACAACCUUCUGCUUGUAGUGAAUCCACAACUAAGGGAUGUUUUAGAACCCCAGCUAAAUAAUGCAUGUCUGAGAGGUCAAUGUCCUAUAUUAUUUCAAAAUACUAAUAUAAGUGAAUAGUUCCCAGGUUUAGGCCCCGUUUGGAAAAACAGCUUAAUUAAGCACUUAUGGUCAUAAGCGCUUAUGACAUAAGCGCUUAUUCAUAAGCUAUUUUUGAAAAUUUAUUGAAAUAAAUUAAAAAUAAGCUAUAUAUAAGCAUAAGCUGUUUUUCAUAAGCUAUCCUGAGUAGCUUAUGAAAAUAAGCUGAAAAUAGCUUAUGGCAGGUUAUAAGCUGUUUGCAUAAGCCCUCCCAAACACUGGUAUAAGAGCUUAUGGUGUCAGAUAAGCUCAAAUAAGCUCUUCCAAACUGGGCCUUAAUGGGUUAGGUGCUUUUUGCUCAUGAAGCAGUUUCUGGCUGCUACCCACAUUUAUGUUUACAAUUUCUUUCAAUUUGCGGGGGUUCAAACCCCCGCAAAACAGCCUUCUUCUGCCUGUAGUGAAUCCAUAACUAAGAGAGGGUUUAGAACCCCCGCUAAAUAUGUCCGAGAGAGCUAGCCAGGAAUACUUUGUGGCGAGUGUAACUUCAAUCUCCUGGUUUAGUUUGGUUCUCUUCUGUAGCUUUUUCCUUUAACCGUACUCACCCUUGCCCAAUAUUGACUAGAUGAUAUGCAUUUGAGAAGAAAGAUUUCUUACUAAGGUAAUAUCUACAAUUAUAUUAAAUAAUGCAUUCUAAAUAUUAUUAGGCAAAUUUGGUAUACUAAACAUAUUCUAAUAACACAUUAUGAUUUAGUUUCAUUUAUUUUUUUCUUCUCAAACUGUGAUUGAUAUUUAAUGCUUAUUUUUAAUUUUUUUUUAUAGAAGUAUGAGAAGUUAUAUAAUUACUAGUUUAUAUAUAAAAAAUCUUGUUCGGAAAAUAAUUAACAUUUUUUAGUUUAAAAUAAUUAAACUUGAGUGAAAAACAUACAUAAAGAUUUAAAAUCUUGUUGGGAUACGAUUUUAGAUAUAAAAUCUUUUAAUUUUUGAAAGGAUCUUAUUUUGAUAUUAUGAAAGCUGACUUAAAUUUAUGACAGUUCAUUGUUUGACACUGAGACACGGAAAGCGUGUGAGAAGAAAGUUACCGUUACUCGCGUAAAAAGUAAGUAACCUUUAUCACUAUAAAUAUUGCAUUUGGUUUACUCGCGUAAAAAGUAAAGUUACCUUUAUCACUGUACUAAAUUGCAUUUGCAUGCAGAAACCAUGCUCUGCUCUCUCUCUCUCUCUCUCUCUGAACCAAAGCAACACUCACUCUCACUCCAGCGUCGUCGACAAUCAACCUUCCGGUGGCAUCGUCGCUUUUCCGGCAAUCAAACCCUAGACGACAUUCACUGAUGCAUGGGUUCACUCGAUCGGUUCUUGAACACUUCUUGGUGCGAUGGACGAACAAGUUGUCGCCGCCGCCGGAAAUGGGUUCACUCGAUCGGUUCUUCAACACUUCUUGGUCCGAUGGACGAACAAGUUGUCGCCGCCGCCGGAGAUGGGUUCACUCGGUUCUUGAACACUUCUGAUUCAUGCCGGUAUGUCACAAACUCUCGGUUUUUCUUUCUAUUUCUGAGAUUAGAUCUUCUGUUAGUUUAUAUGAUUUUCUUAUUAAUGUUUUCUUUACUAUGGGUAUGUUUCUUUCUGAGUUGAUUGAUUUUGCAUUUGGGUUUCAUCUUUGGAGUGUUUAGAUUUCUGGCUAAAUUGUUUCAUCGUUUUGCAGGAGAAACGUCUCGCUAGUUAUGAGUAUGGACGCUAUGGAAACCCAACCAGUACAGUUUUAGAGGAGAUCGAAGAUAAGGUUUGUGUGUUUGUUUAAUUUCGUGAUUAUCAUCAUAUCAUGUUUUUAAGUUGUGAGGUCGUUUAAUGAGGUUUCUUGCCAUUAUUGAAACAGUGAACUGGAGGGUGCUGAAUCAACUGUCUUGUUAAUGGCGGACAUCUUGUGACCACCAAGGAUUGUUACAGGAAGACCAGAAUAUUCAUAGAGACUGUGCUCCCUAAGAUGGGAACCAAGGUAUAUGGAAACUGCUGAUUAUAUAUAUUGUCAUGUAACAAUGACAUUAAUAUGCUAUAUGUCUUGUCUCCCGUCCCUGCUUAUUUAUAUUAUUGAUUUGUUAUUCUUGUAAAAUGGAUUUUUUUAAAAUUGUUGUAUAAGAAUACGCAUGAGUGUGGUUGAAUUGUGUUUUAUAUUAAAAUUGAAAUGUAUGGUGGAAGUAUAUUAUUCUAUUUUAGCAGACUUAUAUUUCUUUGCUGUUCAUCAUUCAUCUGGAUGAUGUGUAUUUUUAUGUUGCAUUUUUCCCCCAUAUACAUUGAAGCUAUGUUUGGUUUAGUCUUUAGAGUAGGGGAGGGGCCCCGUGCAAGGGAUUCAAAGGGAGAUGAGGGAAGAGGUUCUAAAUCUUACCGUGUUUGGUUAGAGGGAAGGGAGGGGAGUAGAAGGAAAGGGAGUGGAAAUUUCCCUCUUGUUUGGUUUAUGAGGGGAGGAGAGGUAUUUUAAAACUAUUUUACUUUUAUUGCCCUCAUUUUCAAAAAAAAGUUUUAGUUUCAAAAAUGAGGAAGGACAUUUUAGUCAACACAAUUUAUCUCCCUUCCAUAUUCACCCAAUUUUGGAGGGAACCAAAAUUAAAUUAGGAUGAGUUUUGGCCCCUUCCAUUUCCCUCCCCUCAUCCCAAAAUUUGAACCAAACAUGAUAGUUUUAAAAUUUUCCUCUUCUCUCCAUUCCCCCUACCAAACACUGAAAAUGUUUGGCACACAGUAUAUGCUUAUACCGUUUUUUUGUUCUGUGUAGGGCUGUCUAUUUGAAAAGCAUUGACCCAGAUACAGCAACAACUUAACAUAUAUGAUGUGGUGUAUGUGAAGUAAUUUGAUAAGGUUUGUAACACAUGAUUAUGAGUUCAAUUGUUUUCUCUUAUGUUGCUUAUGCUCAUUAUCUCGCAUAAAUACUGUUGGCUGUUUGUUCUAUAUGGUUAUUAAGUUUACCGUUAGUUUUAUUUCUUAAGAGAUUGAUUUAUAUUUACUUUGAUUUUUUUAUAGAUUGUGCAUUUUCCCGAACCCCUGAAAUUGGAUAUUGUUGUUAGCAUUCCAGAUCACGUCACGCCUUUCAUCUUCGUUUUGAUCAGUGGUAUCAGGUUUCAUGUCUUUUCUUGUUCCCUCAUUUUGCUGCUAGUGAAUAAUUUAUUCUCAAAUGUAUAUGUGUAUGUGUAGAGUCCUUAUUUGGAGAAAACAUUAGAUGAUAUAGCUCAGCUAGUUAAAAUUUUAUGUAUUGUGUCUUAAAUAGGAAGCAUAAGCGCUGGAUAGUUAACAAACGAGUGGGAUGAGGUUUGAGUUUGUAUAUACCAGCUUUAGAUGUGGUAAACGUAGGGCGCGUAGGCAGAAUUCGAGUGUAGGCAGAAUGGAGGAGCAGAGAGUAGAGGUGGAAAGAAUUAGAAAGUGGAAUAGGAGAUAGAUUAGACGAGUAGGAUCAAAAAGAAGUAUAAGUUGGUGAAGGUGAAUGAGGAGAAGGAAUUAAAACAUGUGAAGGAGGAGAAGAGGGUGAAGAUUAAAGUGGACCAAUAUGAAUUGAAGGAGCAGUAUAAGGACGAGCAGUAGGAGGAGAGGAGGAAUCACGGGAAGCAGUAAAAGGAGAGUAGUAAUCAUUCCAAGGAGACUAUAAGUUGGCGUAGAAAAGUGGUUUUGUAAUGUGGUGAAGUGAUGAAAGAAGGAAGUUGGGACUCAUGAAAUUCAACAUGUCUACAGAAUUAGAAAGUGGAAUAUGAGAUGUAUUAGAUGGGGAGGAAAAAGUAAGAGGAGAAUUUGGGGAAGGUGAUUGAGGGGAAGAGAGUGAAAAAUUGGAAGGAGUAGAAUGGUUAAUAUUCAAGUGAAUCAUUAACAGUUUAUGGAGCAAUGUUUGGAUGAAUAGUAGGAUACGAUGUGGAAUCACUCCAAGGUUAGUAAUAGUUGGAGAAGAAGAACUGAGUUUUGAAGGAGGUGAAGUGGUGAUUGUAAGUAAUUUGGACUCAUGAAGUUUAACAUCUCCUGAGCAUUAGAAAGUGGAAUAUAAGAUGGUUUUAAUUAGAUUGGGAGGAAGAAGAAGAUGGAGAAGUUGGUUAAGGCUAAGUAGAGAACGGAAGGAUUUGUGGGAAGGAGGAGGAGAGGGUGAAGAUCUAAGUGAACCAUUACGGAUUGAAGGAACAGUAUAAUGAUGGGCAGUAGGAGGAGAGAAGGUAACACUCUAAGCCGAGUAAUAUUUGGAGAAGAAGUAAUUUUUGAAGGACGUGAAGUGGUGAGUGAAGGAAAUUUGGACUCUUAAACUUCAACAUUUCGAUAAAAUUAAAAAGCGGAAUAGGAGACAGAUUAAAUUAGAUGGAUAGGAAGAAGAAGAAUGAGAAGUUGGUGAAGGUAAAUAAGGAGAAGGAAGUGAUACAUGGGUAAACAGGUGGAGACGGUGAUGAUUCAAGUGAACCAUGAAGGAUUGAAGGAGGAGUAUAAGGAUGAACAGUAGAUAAUAGUUGGAGAAGAUGAAGUAAUGAAAGAUGUAAUUUUAGACAAGUGAUAUUUAACAUCUGUACAGAAUUUGAAAGUGGAAUAGGAGAUAAGUUGGAUUAGAUGAGGAGGAAAUAGAAGAAGGAGAAGUUGGUUAAGUUGAAUGAGUAGAAGGAAGUGAAGCUUGGGAAGGAGGAUGAACAGUAGAUAAUAGUUGGAGAAGAUGAGGUGAUGGAAGAUGUAAUUUUCGACAAGUGAUAUUUAACAUCUGUACAGAAUUUGAAAGUGGAAUAGGAGAUAAGUUGGAUUAGAUGAGGAGGAAAUAGAAGAAGCAGAAGUUGGUUAAGGUGUAUGAGUAGAAAGAAGUGAAGCUUGGGAAGGAGGAUGAGAAUGUGAUGAUUCAAGUGAAACUUUAAAAGUUAAACUACCCGUAUAUAUGGAUGAGCAAUAAGAUGAGAGGAGAAUCUCUCCAAGGUGAGUAAUUGUGGGAGAAGAAGUGAUUUUUUUAAGGAUGUGAAGUGAUGAAAGAAUGAAAUUUGGACUAAAGAAAUUUAACAUGUCUAGAGAUUUAGCUAGUGGAAUAGGAGAUGAAUUAGACGUGUGACAGAAGAAAAAGAAAGAAAAGUUUGUGAAAGUGAUGGAGAAAAAAA
RNAcentral lists this long non-coding RNA (9141 nucleotides) under Lotus japonicus. Its description in RNAcentral is "long non-coding RNA (LJAP_LNC001134)". Lineage: Eukaryota; Viridiplantae; Streptophyta; Magnoliopsida; Fabales; Fabaceae. The record is from RNAcentral.